RNAcentral lists this unclassified non-coding RNA (518 nucleotides) under uncultured Glomus. RNAcentral describes it as "SSU rRNA". It matches the Rfam family "Eukaryotic small subunit ribosomal RNA", at positions 569 to 1089 of the family's 1831-position model. The record is from RNAcentral. Lineage: Eukaryota; Fungi; Glomeromycota; Glomeromycetes; Glomerales; Glomeraceae.
AGCAGCCGCGGUAAUUCCAGCUCCAAUAGCGUAUAUUAAAGUUGUUGCAGUUAAAAAGCUCGUAGUUGAAUUUCGGGAUCAAUAUGUUGGUCGUGCCUUGGUACGUACUGGCAUUAUCGAUUCCUACCUUCUGAAGAACCUCGAUGUCAUUAAUUUGGUGUCUUGGGGAAUCAGGACUGUUACUUUGAAAAAUUAGAGUGUUUAAAGCAGGCUCGCGCUUGAAUACAUUAGCAUGGAAUAAUGAAAUAGGACGUUUGAUUCUAUUUUGUUGGUUUCUAGGAUCGACGUAAUGAUUAAUAGGGAUAGUUGGGGGCAUUAGUAUUCAAUUGUCAGAGGUGAAAUUCUUGGAUUUUAUUGAAGACUAACUACUGCGAAAGCAUUUGCCAAGGAUGUUUUCAUUAAUCAAGAACGAAAGUUAGGGGAUCGAAGACGAUCAGAUACCGUCGUAGUCUUAACCAUAAACUAUGCCGACUAGGGAUCGGAUGGAUGUUAAUUUUUAAUGACUCAUUCGGCUACCG